UUCCCUUUCCAGGGCCCUGAUCUCAUGACGAGGACAUAAUUCUUUCAUCAUCAGAGCUCGAAGCUCUUCCCAUGUUUGAGCUAGUGCCACAUCGGCACCCCUAUCUCUCAUUACACCAUUCCACCAUGUUAGAGCCCGCUUUUCAAAGACACUAGAUGCGAAAUCUACCUUUCGCUCGUUUGGGCAUUGAACAUGCCUGAAGGUGCUCUCUAGACUCUCGAACCAUUGCAGAAGUGCAGUCGCUCCUUGAGAUCCAGAAAACUUUGAUGGCUUAGCUGAGUUGAACGUCUUGAAGUUGCAAGGGGCAUUAUUGUUGUUGAGAGCUUGGUUGCAUUGAGCAACGAUGUUCGGGAUUGCAGCAGUAUCUGAUUGUUGCGUCGUGGAGGCAUUCUAAAAGGGAAACAAGAGAGAGAAACAAGUGAAAUGGCAUUGGGUAAGAAUAGGAAAUUACCGACCAAAAGCAUGGGUGAUGGUCAUUUGUUUGAACCACGAAGCAAACAAACGACACACAAAGGCUGAAUCAAAGUAAAUAGGUCCCCAUAAUGUAUCGCGAAGACAUGCUCGCCUAUAAGUGGACACUCACCCCAAGAGUUCCCAGAUAAGAGUGACUGGUCCGAUACUGCGGAUUUGUACGAACACUCUAGCCUUAGACAGAAAACUCAGGGUACAGGCACCCACCCUUCCAGUUUGCACGUGUUCACAUUAUUUAGACCCAAACUUUGACGGAAUUUUGAAAACUUAAAGGGUUCGAAACCUUAUAACUAAGGGUUCAAAACCUAGUAAUCAAUCAUCCUAGAACAGAAGAUUAGUUUUCAAAGCAGAUCAAAUUUAUGUUCUUGUUGUGGUUGUCACCUAAGGAUAAGUGACGGUAUUGUUUUAAAAUCUAAACACAAGAAUCUUGUGUUAGGGUCCUAGGAAGGUUAUAGUCUAGGUCAAAGCAUUACUAAUAACCUAAUUCUCUAUAACCAUUGGCUCUGAUACCAACUUUUCUGUCACACCCCGACCACGUAAAACAACAAAACGUGGCGGAAACGUCGGGGAGUGUUGUAAUAGAAUCAUUGUUUCACAACCAUGGAUUAAACAAAUUUCGUUUUAUUGAAUUAAAUGAGUUACAAUGUCU
Molecule: long non-coding RNA, 1120 nt
Filed under: Helianthus annuus (common sunflower)
Lineage: Eukaryota; Viridiplantae; Streptophyta; Magnoliopsida; Asterales; Asteraceae
Description: hypothetical non coding rna
Source: RNAcentral